RNAcentral lists this ribosomal RNA (417 nucleotides) under uncultured bacterium. RNAcentral describes it as "partial 16S ribosomal RNA". It matches the Rfam family "Bacterial small subunit ribosomal RNA", at positions 360 to 774 of the family's 1533-position model. The record is from RNAcentral.
AAUAUUGGUCAAUGGGCGGGAGCCUGAACCAGCCAUGCCGCGUGCGGGAUGAAGGCCCUACGGGUCUUAACCCGCUUUUACACGGGAACAACCGAAGCUACGUGUAGCACCCUGCGGGUACCGUCGGAAUAAGGCUCGGCUAACCCCGUGCCAGCAGCCGCGGUAAUACGGAGGACCCGGGCGUUUUCGGGAAUUAUGGGGUUGAAAGGGUGCGUAGGCGGCACUUUAAGUCAGGGGUUAAAUACAGCGGCUCAACCGUUGCAGUGCCCUUGAUACUGAAGUGCUUGAAUGUGGCCGAAGGAGGCGGAACGGGACAAGUAGCGGUGAAAUGCAUAGAUAUGUCCCAGAACCCCGAUUGCGAAGGCAGCUUCCUAGACCGUUAUUGACGCUGAUGCACGAAAGCGUGGGGAUCGAACA